RNAcentral lists this ribosomal RNA (831 nucleotides) under Triticum aestivum (bread wheat). RNAcentral's name for it is "partial small subunit ribosomal RNA". The record is from RNAcentral. Lineage: Eukaryota; Viridiplantae; Streptophyta; Magnoliopsida; Poales; Poaceae.
AUGGGCUUCUUCCAGGUGAUCAACCAUAGCGUGCCUGAGGAGGCGAUGCGGAACAUGGAGGCGGUGUGCCGUGAGUUCUUUGCGCUGCCCGCAGCGAACAAGGCCGCCUUCUACUCGGGGGACAAUAACAGGACCAACCGGUACUUCUCCGGCAGCACCUACGAGACCGGCGGCAACAAGUACUGGAUGGACUGUCUCCGCCUCGGUUGCAGCAUCCCCGUCGGCGACAGCAAGAAUAACUGGCCCCAUAAGCCUCCAAACCUCAGAGAGGUUAUCGAGAAGUAUACCAUGCUGACUAGAGACGUGGGGAUGGAGCUGCUACGGCUACUGUGCGAGGCCAUGGGGCUCCGGCCUGACUAUUUUGAGGGGGACCUCGGCGGCGCCGAUGUGAUCGUCACCCUCAACCACUACCCAGCAUGUCCAGACCCGACCACAAUGAUUGGUCUACCGCCACGCUGCGAUAGGAACCUCCUCAGUCUCCUCCUCCCCAGCGCAGUUCCUGGCCUUCAAAUCUCCCACAAUGGCAAAUGGAUGAACGUCGAGCCCCUGCCCAACGCCUUCAUCGUCAACUUUGGCCUUCCGCUCGAGGUCGUGACCAACGGCAUGCUUAAGAGCAUCGAGCACCGGGUGGUGACCAACGCGACACUGCCACGCAUGUCGUUAGGGACAUGCAUCACUCCUACCAAAGACUGCCUCAUCGCUCCCGCGGAGGAGUUCCUUAGCGACGAAAACCCACCGCGGUACCGUGGUGUCACAUACCGCGAGUUCAAUCACAUCCACAGCAUCGCCAAGUUUGGGUUAUCCAGCGUGCGCACCACACGACAAACCUGA